RNAcentral lists this ribosomal RNA (477 nucleotides) under uncultured bacterium. RNAcentral describes it as "bacterial SSU rRNA". It matches the Rfam family "Bacterial small subunit ribosomal RNA", at positions 28 to 506 of the family's 1533-position model. The record is from RNAcentral.
GACGAACGCUGGCGGCGUGCCUAACACAUGCAAGUCAACUUGACUGAAGGAGCAAUCUGACAGUAGAGUGGCGCAAGGGUGCGUAACGCGUAAGUAACUUGCCCAAGGUAAGGAAUAACGUCGAGAAAUCGGCGCUAAUACCUCAUAAUGCAGCGGAUCCGCAUGGAUAUGUUGUUAAAGGUUUACCGCCUUGGGAUAGGCUUGCGUCUGAUUAGUUAGUUGGUGUGGUAACGGCACACCAAGGCUACGAUCAGUAACUGGUCUGAGAGGAUGAUCAGUCACACUGGAACUGAGACACGGUCCAGACUCCUACGGGAGGCAGCAGUGAGGAAUAUUGGGCAAUGCUCGAAAGAGUGACCCAGCAACGCCGCGUGGAGGAUGAAGGUAUUCUAUAUCGUAAACUCCUGUGAGAGCAGACGAAAGACAGAUUAUUAAUCUGGAUGACUGUAUGCUCAGAGGAAGCCCGGCUAACUACGU